ACUUGUGAGUGAUUAUAGUUGCUGUCGCCGGUGGAUGCAGGGAUUCAGAGCCAUAUGGCGCCGGCGGCCUUGAGCAUGGGCACGAGCUUGCCGGCGAGGUGCAGCGACAUGAUCGUGUCGGUGGAGCCGACGAGCUUGCUGCCGACGAAGACGGCGGGGACGGGCGGCGCACGGCCGAGGCGGCGGGCGAGCUCCCGCUCCAUGUCGCGGCCGCGGGGGUCCUUGUCGAGCUCGUGCACCGCCGCGCACACGCCGAGCUCGGAGAAGAGGCUCAACACCGUGUGGCACAUCGGGCACUGGCUUCGCGUGAAGAUCACCACCGCCUUCUCCGUCGACAGCCUCGACACCCUCUCCGCCAUUGCCGCCGC
This 368-nucleotide long non-coding RNA is filed under the name Setaria viridis. Its description in RNAcentral is "long non-coding RNA (SVIR_LNC003640)". Lineage: Eukaryota; Viridiplantae; Streptophyta; Magnoliopsida; Poales; Poaceae. The record is from RNAcentral.